GUCCUUGUAGCUCAAUGGAUAGAGCAGGGGUCUUCUAAGCCCUUGAUGCAGGUUCGAUUCCUGCCGAGGGCA
RNAcentral lists this transfer RNA (72 nucleotides) under Candidatus Moraniibacteriota bacterium. RNAcentral's name for it is "tRNA-Arg". It matches the Rfam family "tRNA". Rfam says of the family: Transfer RNA (tRNA) molecules are approximately 80 nucleotides in length. Their secondary structure includes four short double-helical elements and three loops (D, anti-codon, and T loops). Lineage: Bacteria; Candidatus Moraniibacteriota. The record is from RNAcentral.